CGAGUAAAUUACAAAAACACCCCUAAUGUUUAUGUUCUAAUUAUUUUCAAUAGUUUGUAAAACCUACAUAUACACUCAGUGAAACUAAUGGUGUUAGUGAAACUAAUGAUGUUAGUGAAACUAUUUGCCUCAUAUAAAAAAGUCAAAAUUGCCCUUGGGUAGGGAGGAGGAUGCACAUGUUUUCUUAUGUCCGUGGUGGCUGUUAUGUCACUUAAAUUUAUUUUGGUCAUUUUUAAUUUUUUUCCUGAUGUGGCUUUUAGGUCUAAUUUAAGGUUAACAGUUUCACUAAUGUUCUGUUAUGGGCUAAAAUGUUGGAUAAAAAUAAACCUCAGAGGCGUAAGCGUAAGUUGUUCAAACUAUUGGGUGUAUGUGUAAUUUACCCCAAAUCUUAAAGGGUUUUUGUAAUUUAUUCUUAUUGUUUUAUUACCUUUAAUUUCAUGUAUCAAACCUUCUUCUUUAUCAUCAUGUAGGUCCCUUGCAAGGUUGUCACAAGCAGCAGCCUAGGCACAUGGGUACACAGAUGCUUGGACGCAAUCGCCUAGGCACCUAGAGCUUUCUAAACCUUCAAUGAUAUAGCCACCCACCUAGCUUGGUGCCAAGUG
RNAcentral lists this long non-coding RNA (602 nucleotides) under Phoenix dactylifera (date palm). RNAcentral describes it as "long non-coding RNA (PDAC_LNC020663)". Lineage: Eukaryota; Viridiplantae; Streptophyta; Magnoliopsida; Arecales; Arecaceae. The record is from RNAcentral.